GACGAACGCUGGCGGCGUGCUUAACACAUGCAAGUCGAACGGAAAGGCCCUGCUUUUGUGGGGUGCUCGAGUGGCGAACGGGUGAGUAACACGUGAGUAACCUGCCCUUGACUUUGGGAUAACUUCAGGAAACUGGGGCUAAUACCGGAUAGGAGCUCCUGCUGCAUGGUGGGGGUUGGAAAGUUUCGGCGGUUGGGGAUGGACUCGCGGCUUAUCAGCUUGUUGGUGGGGUAGUGGCUUACCAAGGCUUUGACGGGUAGCCGGCCUGAGAGGGUGACCGGCCACAUUGGGACUGAGAGACGGCCCAGACUCCUACGGGAGGCAGCAGUGGGGAAUAUUGCACAAGGGGCGGAAGCCUGAUGCAGCAACGCCGCGUGCGGGAUGACGGCCUUCGGGUUGUAAACCGCUUUCGCCUGUGACGAAGAGUGAGUGACGGUAAUGGGUAAAGAAGCACCGGCUAACUACGUG
RNAcentral lists this ribosomal RNA (468 nucleotides) under uncultured bacterium. RNAcentral describes it as "partial 16S ribosomal RNA". It matches the Rfam family "Bacterial small subunit ribosomal RNA", at positions 28 to 507 of the family's 1533-position model. The record is from RNAcentral.